UAGCAGUCACCCACCCACCGCGAACACGAAGACCCAGUCAGUCAGUCACCCACCCACCUACAGGACCUCCGACCUCACCACCUCCGACGUCACCGCCUCCACCCAGAAAGCCUCCACCCAGCAGCGUUUCUGGGUUCUGUAGGGUCACCUCACCACCUCCGACCUCGCCGCCUGCACCCAGAAAGCCUCCCACCCAGCCACCGAUUCAGGUGCAUAUGGAGCCCGAGCCAUCUAUUCAGCCAUGCCAGUUUCCACAGUUGCUUCAGAAUCGGCAUUUAGUACUGGAGGAAGGGUGUUGAAUAAUUAUAGGAGUUCUCUAACUCCGAUGACAGCUAAAGCGUUAAUUUGUACCCAAAAUUGGCUCCGAAACUCUCCAAAACUUGUCCUUGAGGAACUCAUCGAGGAAUUGGAGAAGUUAGAAUUAGAAGUUGCACCCACUCGUGAUCCCAAUGAAGAAGAUUCUGGUGUUGAGUCUGAUUAAAGUACAUCUUGUUAAGUUUUAUGGU
This is a non-coding RNA of Arachis ipaensis, 506 nucleotides long. The record is from RefSeq and is a predicted model, not a curated record. NCBI's taxonomy places the organism in Eukaryota, Viridiplantae, Streptophyta, Magnoliopsida, Fabales, Fabaceae.